UUGGAGGGCAAGUCUGGUGCCAGCAGCCGCGGUAAUUCCAGCUCCAAUAGCGUAUAUUAAAGUUGUUGCAGUUAAAAAGCUCGUAGUUGAACCUUGGCUCUGGCUGGCCGGUCCGCCUCACCGCGAGUACUGGUCCGGCUGGAGCUUUCCUUCUGGGGAACCUCAUGGCCUUCACUGGCUGUGGGGGGAACCAGGACUUUUACUGUGAAAAAAUUAGAGUGUUCAAAGCAGGCCUUUGCUCGAAUACAUUAGCAUGGAAUAAUAGAAUAGG
RNAcentral lists this ribosomal RNA (271 nucleotides) under uncultured Ascomycota. RNAcentral's name for it is "partial 18S ribosomal RNA". It matches the Rfam family "Eukaryotic small subunit ribosomal RNA", at positions 548 to 826 of the family's 1831-position model. Lineage: Eukaryota; Fungi; Ascomycota. The record is from RNAcentral.